UCUCAAGACUAAAGCACAUAUUCACCCUUCCUAUUCUUUGUCGGCAACGAGGGCUAGAGAAACAGAAAGAACUUGGUUGCAAAUCCAAAUUCAUACAGCAGAUUUUUCAUGAGAUGUAUUGGGUAAUUGGGUUUUUCCUUCAAGUUUUGAGAGACCAGAAAUUCGAAAGAGGAAUGAAGGAAAACUUAAGAAAGAGGAGCGAACAGGAAACAAAUUUGAGGCCGUGCAAUUUACUCAAGUUACAAGAAGAGGAAAGAAUUUGAUGCAGCGAUUUGUUGGCUGAUUCGGCGAUUGGAGAUCUCCUUCUUGGGCAAGGAAGCUGGCCUUAUAAAAGAGAGGAAGUCCAGCAAUUUGGAAGGACGGAUUACAACUAUUUGGGCGUGACUGCAGCAGAGAGGAGUAGGGAGUACCGUAUAUAUCCAAAAUUCACAACAAUACCCGCAUUCGAGAAUCAUUAAGUCGUGCUUCAAUUCUGAUCAGCGAUUCGCCCCUUUUCUCCCGUCGAUCCAUUAGUCUAUGCCGACAAUUGGAAUGGACCUUUUGGGGAAGAUGUGGCCUGUUCUUGGGAGCAGGGAUAACUAAUUGCUUGGAAGGGGUAGGUUCGGCAAUCGUCGUGCCUUUCCCCUUCCUUUGCCUAUUGGGAGUGCAUACACUCUAGUGAGACUGAUCGGCCUGAAUUUUCUGGGUUUGCUGCUGAUUGAGUUACUUCUGAGUUUCAUCCACUUUGGAUGAAAGGAUCUUGUUGUGUUCUUGCAUCUUCACCAUAUCCUGUUGUAACAUCGGGAUUUGAGCCAGGAGCUCAACUUCGGUAGUUGUUUGUAGUGUAGCGGGACCUACACUUGUGCGAGGGGGCAUUGCUGGACUCGCCCAACCCUGUUUGUCAAAUGGUGACUCAUCAAACGGUAGGAAUAGCGAAAUAAAGGAAGUACCCAUCUUGGCUAGGUAAAUAUUGUGGAUUGAUUAAUGAUGAUUCCCACAUACGACAUCAAACUGUUGAUGCACAAAAAUGGUCGAACACUUUCAAGCCCAACUUAGUGAUGAUGUCACCUUCGAAUCUGCGCACUCUUCGACAUAGUGGAUGAUCUGCGAAACAAAGAAUGGACAGUGAGACCUUGG
This is a long non-coding RNA of Prunus avium (sweet cherry), 1116 nucleotides long. RefSeq lists it as uncharacterized. The record is from RefSeq and is a predicted model, not a curated record. NCBI's taxonomy places the organism in Eukaryota, Viridiplantae, Streptophyta, Magnoliopsida, Rosales, Rosaceae.